AGUCUCCUUUUUUUCAUAAAGGAAGCAAGCAUUGGUAAAGCAUACCUUUAAUACCAGCACUUGGGAUACAAAGGUAGGUAGAUCUCUGUGAGUAUGAGGCCAGCCAGGGGAUACACAGAGAGACAGUAACAAAAAAGUUAAAAAGGAGAUUAGCAUUCAGACAGGAGGUGGAGGCAAGCGCUAUGGGACCAAAAGACCAUCAUCUACAAGCCAAGAAAUGAGCCUCGGGCUGGUGAGAUGGCUCAGUGGGUAAGAGCACCCUAUUGCUCUUCCGAAGGUCCGAAGUUCAAAUCCCAGCAACCACAUGGUGGCUCACAACCACCCGCAAUGAGAUCUGAUGCCCUCUUCUGGUGUAUCUGAAGACAACUACAGUGUACUUACAUAUAAUAAAUAAAUAAAUCUUUAAAAAAAAAAAAAAGAAAUGAGCCUCAAAUGAGUAACCUUGAUCUUGGACUUUUGAUAUUCAGAAAAUUGAGAAAACACAUUUCUGCUAAGCCAUUCAGUCUGUGAUCAUUUUCCAUGGCAAUCUUCUAGACCAAAAGGAGAGGAAGUCAUGUUGACACUUUAUUACAAAUAGUUUGCAGUUCUAACUUAAUGUUUAUCAUGUGAGUUGGCAAACACAGUGGUUCCUGGAAGAGGUUGGCUGUGGGUAAUUGAGAGGGUAGCCUUUGGAAGUCCAACAGCACAGGUUCAAAUUCCACUCACCCACUGUGUAACUUGGAGUAGUUUGCUUAACCUCCCUUUUCAACACAGAUGGACUCAUAGCACCUAUUGAUCUAAGCAAUGGUGGUAAUGGAUGACUGAUAUUCUGCAAGACACAGCACAGAUGCAGGUUGACAGCAGACUCAACUCUGGAAUGUAUGCAUUGGAGAUGGGUUUAAAGACUUGGACUCUGUCUUCGAUCCUGAAGCAACCCUGCAGCUUGAUUACAGGCCCUCUUAGCCUCAGAUCCGCAUUGGUGCUGUAGGACGCAAGACCCACGCAGGUUCCACAGCAGUCCUGCUGAGAUGUGAGGACGUUACAGUCAUCAGCAAGCCAAGUUAAAGAUCUGCUUUGUACCCUGGAGCAAACCCCAAUCCCCUUGCUUUAAAUCCUGGAGACAGUCUAGUUCAACCAUGAACCACCCAUAAAGGAAGAAAUCCACCCUGCAACUCCCACACAGAAAGACACAGAAGGCUCCCUCCCGGGCCUCAGAUUAGGCACAAACCACACCCAAACACCUGUUUCACUGAGAUUCUUUCUUAAGCAGGGGAGAAAAGUUAAAAGUGGCUGCUUUCAGAACCCAUGUCUGCUGGACCUCUCAUGAGGCCCACCAAACGGAGACGUCAUCCAGCAGCCAUGAGACUGGUUCUGAGAACAUCUGACUGGGAUCUCAAGACAAGCCCACCAGCUCAGAGAUUUAAGAGAAGACCUCACAAGGCUAAAAACACUUUCUAAGGAAUGGCAGAAGUGUUUGUUCCUCCAAACACAUGGAUCAAUGCAAAGAUGUGCUAAAUCAAAAGGAAUCUGGCAAACUGAACACUGGUAAAGAAACCGAACGAGGCUGGGACAGCUCACCACAGAAAUUAGAGACCUGUGAGUUGUAGGAAGGAGAAUUCAAAAUGCUCACAUUACAGAAGCUCAAUGAGGUGGAAGGGAACACACUUAAGAAGAAAAGUAAAGGAAUUGGAUGGGAAAAUAAACAUAUUUAUCCUUCAAUAAAAUAUAAACA
RNAcentral lists this long non-coding RNA (1711 nucleotides) under Mus spicilegus (steppe mouse). RNAcentral's name for it is "lncRNA (ENSMSIG00000001629.1)". Lineage: Eukaryota; Metazoa; Chordata; Mammalia; Rodentia; Muridae. The record is from RNAcentral.